GGGAAUUUGGACAAUGGSGAAAGCCUGAUCCASCCAUACCGSGKGKKGAAGAAGCCCUAGGGUUGUAAAGCACUUUAAGUUGGGAAGAAAAGUUAUUGGCUAAUACCCAAUGGCCGUGACAUUACCAUCAGAAUAAGGACCGGCUAAUUCCGUGCCAGCAGCCGCGGUAAUACGGAAGGUCCAAGCGUUAAUCGGAAUUACUGGGCGUAAAGCGCGCGUAGGUGGUUUAUUAAGUUGGAUGUGAAAUCCCCGGGCUCAACCUGGGAACUGCAUCCAAAACUGAUUCACUAGAGUACGAUAGAGGGAGGUAGAAUUCACAGUGUAGCGGUGGAAUGCGUAGAUAUUGUGAAGAAUACCAAUGGCGAAGGCAGCCUCCUGGAUCUGUACUGACACUGAGGUGCGAAAGCGUGGGUAGCGAACAGGAUUAGAUACCCUGGUAGUCCACGCCGUAAACGAUGUCAACUAGCUGUUGGAAAGCAUUGCUUUUCAGUGGCGCAGCUAACAUAGUAAGUUGACCGCCUGGGGAGUACGGCCGCAAGGUUAAAACUCAAAUGAAUUGACGGGGACCCGCACAAGCGGUGGAGCAUGUGGUUUAAUUCGAUGCAACGCGAAAAACCUUACCUAUGCUUGACAUACUUGGAAUACUUUGUAAUGAAGUAGUGCCUUCGGGAGCCAAGAUACAGGUGCUGCAUGGCUGUCGUCAGCUCGUGUCGUGAGAUGUUCCGUUAAGUCGGAUAACGAGCGCAACCCUUACCCUUAUUUGCCAGCGAUUCGGUCGGGAACUAUAAGGGGACUGCCGGUGAUAAACCGGAGGAAGGUGAGGACGACGUCAAGUCAUCAUGGCCCUUACGCAUAGGGCUACACACGUGCUACAAUGGAGAAUACAGACGGACGCUAAGCCGCGAGGUGGUGCUAAUCCUAGAAAAUUCUUCGUAGUCCGGAUUGGAGUCUGCAACUCGACUCCAUGAAGUCGGAAUCGCCAGUAAUCGCGAAUCAGCAUGUCGCGGUGAAUACGUUCUCGGGUCUUGUACACACCGCCCGUCAUACCAUGGAAGUGGAUUGCACCAGAAGUAGAUAGUCUAACCUU
RNAcentral lists this ribosomal RNA (1087 nucleotides) under uncultured SAR86 cluster bacterium. Its description in RNAcentral is "bacterial SSU rRNA". Lineage: Bacteria; Pseudomonadati; Pseudomonadota; Gammaproteobacteria. The record is from RNAcentral.